This is a long non-coding RNA of Nematostella vectensis (starlet sea anemone), 1462 nucleotides long. RefSeq lists it as uncharacterized. Lineage: Eukaryota; Metazoa; Cnidaria; Anthozoa; Actiniaria; Edwardsiidae. The record is from RefSeq and is a predicted model, not a curated record. The transcript is spliced from 2 exons.
GGAAACCUUCAAAGGCUCAUAUGGCAGCCAUAUUUGCGCAGAUCGUGAUUUGGCAGCCCCAAGAGUAAUUGAACACCGAGGAUUAUAGUAUGGAAUCCUCAAACAAACCGUGGAGGCUGGCUUUCGAGACACGGAAUAAUUCAACGCUGAUAAACGCUGUAACACUAUCUUUCCGGACAUAGCCAUAUUAUGACAUCACUGAUAACGAAGCACUGCUAUAGAGAAAUGCACCAAAAGUGCGGGAAAAGACCGAGCGCUCACAGAGUACUAACGUGCAACACAAAUAAAGGAAUCUGCUAUAAAAACAUCAGAGGCGCGUUAAAUCGGACGCAAGAAGAAUUCUUGAGACUGGGCGUGUCUUAAGAAUGUGGGAGUGCGCGUGAACGAGUACAGCAUGGCCCAGACAACAUGGCAUAUAUACUUCAUGCUAGGAGUACAGCAUAGCCACGACAACAUGGCAUAUAUACUUCAUGCUAGGAGUACAGCAUAGCCACGACAACAUGGCAUAGAUACUUCUUGCUAGGGGUACAGCAUAACCCAGACAACAUGGCAUAGAUACUUCAUGCUAGGAGUACAGCAUAACCCAGACAACAUGGCAUAGAUACUUCAUGCUAGGAGUACAGCAUAACCCAGACAACAUGGCAUAGAUACUUCAUGCUAGGAGUACAGCAUAGCCACGACAACAUGGCAUAGAUACUUCAUGCUAGGAGUACUUUACUCUCAUUAUCAAAAGUUCACUAAAAGGACAAUUUGGCAGCUUAUAAACUCCCAAGAAGGCAGACAUGGAAAUACUUCCAUUUAUAUUGAUAGUCGUCAAGGCAACAGGCCGAGCGACGUGAGCUCGCGCUUAGCGUCUUUCGUUGGGCAGGUCUUACCUUGUCACAAUGUCUCAACGAUACACAGCUUAUUGAUGGAAGAUAAGAUAUGAUCACGCGAAUAAAGUCACGCAACAGGUGUCAUACAAUGAGAGUCACGCAAGAGCGCGAUAAGUAAUGCCGUCAGAAUGACAGCGUGUAUUCUCACUUGAAGUAACCUAAAGUAAUGCAAUACUGAUAAAAGAGAUAAGAAAAUCGUCAAUAAUAUACAGAGGAGAAAUGGUAGCAAUUUCUCGUGGGAAAUAACAGCUGAUUUCGAUCACGAGUUAUGUUCAAAAUAGUUACACUCAAAUCAAGUUGAAAGUCCCAUCAUUCGAAUUGUCCUGGUUUCUUAGUUUCAAAUAACAAAGCUUUGGUUAUUUAGAAAUGUCAUACGAUUAUCACAUCAUUGAGAGAACUAGGAUCCGAUUCACAUUCAAAACAGUAAAAAGACGGUUAAAAACCUUAUUCAUUGUAAACAUCAAAUAGACCUUGCCAUUUUAAUAUAAACAUUUUCUUGCUUCGUCGAAAGAAAAUACAAAUACAUCAUCAAUAAAAAAUGACAGAAAAAACACUUAUAAGUAAGCGAUUUCAAUCAACCAGUAAAU